GCGCCGGUGGUGUAAGCCGAACAUCGCUGCCCGGAAAGCAGAAGAUACGGGUUCGAGUCCCGCCUGGCGCA
Heligmosomoides polygyrus is the source of this 71-nucleotide non-coding RNA. The record is from Rfam. NCBI's taxonomy places the organism in Eukaryota, Metazoa, Nematoda, Chromadorea, Rhabditida, Heligmosomidae.